This 1222-nucleotide ribosomal RNA is filed under the name metagenome. RNAcentral's name for it is "bacterial SSU rRNA". It matches the Rfam family "Bacterial small subunit ribosomal RNA", at positions 276 to 1498 of the family's 1533-position model. The record is from RNAcentral.
ACGAUGCAUAGCCGGCCUGAGAGGGCGGACGGCCACAUUGGGACUGAGACACGGCCCAAACUCCUACGGGAGGCAGCAGUAGGGAAUUUUCGUCAAUGGGGGGAACCCUGAACGAGCAAUGCCGCGUGAGUGAGGAAGGUCUUCGGAUCGUAAAGCUCUGUUGUAAGAGAAAAACGACAUUCAUAGGGAAUGAUGAGUGAGUGAUGGUAUCUUACCAGAAAGUCACGGCUAACUACGUGCCAGCAGCCGCGGUAAUACGUAGGUGGCGAGCGUUAUCCGGAAUGAUUGGGCGUAAAGGGUGCGUAGGUGGCAGAUCAAGUCUGGAGUAAAAGGUAUGGGCUCAACCCGUACUGGCUCUGGAAACUGAUCAGCUAGAGAACAGAAGAGGACGGCGGAACUCCAUGUGUAGCGGUAAAAUGCGUAGAUAUAUGGAAGAACACCGGUGGCGAAGGCGGCCGUCUGGUCUGGAUUCUGACACUGAAGCACGAAAGCGUGGGGAGCAAAUAGGAUUAGAUACCCUAGUAGUCCACGCCAUAAACGAUGAGAACUAGGUGUUGGGGGAAUAACUCAGCGCCGCAGUUAACGCAGUAAGUUCUCCGCCUGGGGAGUAUGCACGCAAGUGUGAAACUCAAAGGAAUUGACGGGGGCCCGCACAAGCGGUGGAGUAUGUGGUUUAAUUCGAAGCAACGCGAAGAACCUUACCAGGCCUUGACAUCCCUUGCAGAGGUAUAGAGAUAUAUCCGAGGUUACCAAGGAGACAGGUGGUGCAUGGUUGUCGUCAGCUCGUGUCGUGAGAUGUUGGGUUAAGUCCCGCAACGAGCGCAACCCUUGUGAUAUGUUACUAACAUUGAGUUGAGGACUCAUAUCAGACUGCCGGUGAUAAACCGGAGGAAGGUGGGGAUGACGUCAAAUCAUCAUGCCCCUUAUGGCCUGGGCUACACACGUACUACAAUGGCGUCUACAAAGAGCGGCAAGCCUGUGAAGGCAAGCGAAUCUCAUAAAGGGCGUCUCAGUUCGGAUUGAAGUCUGCAACCCGACUUCAUGAAGCUGGAAUCGCUAGUAAUCGCGAAUCAGCAUGUCGCGGUGAAUACGUUCUCGGGCCUUGUACACACCGCCCGUCAAACCAUGGGAGUUGGUAAUGCCCGAAGCCGGUGGCAUAACCCUUCGGGGAGUGAGCCGUCGAAGGCAGGACCGAUGACUGGGGUUAAGUCGUAACAAGGUA